UUUUCAUCCAUAUUUUUCUCCCUCCUCCCUCCAUCCCUCUGUUCUUCCAUUCAUCCGUCCCUCCCUUCUGAUUUUCUCUGCACUCCUCCCCUGCACUGAUAGUUGAGAAGGCAGAAGAACAAGCCCCAGUCCUUACAGUUAGGCAGCCAACUACACCCGUGACCUGAUUUAGACAAAGCCGGAUCUUUGUGCAAGUCCAGCUUGGCGCCCAGGGCUGGCACUCUUUGAUUGGCAGAAAGCUGGGCCCUCUUUGAAGCCCUGGGUUCUUUUAAGCCCGGGUUCGUUAUUAUUGUUAGUGAGGGGGACUCCUUUUGGUUUGUCCUGUGGAGCUCGCGUUCUCAGGCAGCCAUCCCUCAGUGCAACCAGCAAAUACGGGAUGUUAGCUAGAACGCUGCCCCAGAAUGUUCCCCGCUUCUCAUUGCUCGGUCAUUUCACUGGUGACCUCCUCUUGUGAUCCCUUCUGAGGGUUUUUUCUGGGCAAAGCUACGAGAGAGGUUGGCCAUUUCCUUCUUCAUUUUUCAGACAGUGAAGUCUUGACUUGACCAGGGGCACACAGCCAGGGAGGGUCUCAGGGCAAACCCAAACGAUGUCCCUCCUGUGUGUUAUCGGUUGGCCAUUAUUCAGGCCUUUGGAUCGGCCAUCCAGUUUACUGUGGGAUCCUGGAAGGAGUUCCCCAUCUGGGCCUCAGUUUCCCCAUUUGCUGGUCCCGAGGAUGCUUUUAAAUCUGUGAUUCUAAGAUUCGGAGCUUCCCCUUCUUGAAGAUGAGCUGCGGUCUGCACACGCAUACACACCCGCCUAGACAUCCGUAGGGACGCGAGCACACGCAUAUACAUACAUACACACGUUUCUCAAGCCCCGGCCACCCCUUCCCAGCAUGCUCCUCAGUGCGUUUGGGGUCUCCUGAGCGUGCUGGGAGUCACCUCCCUCUGACCAGAAGCCCUCACUGAGCUACUUCCUUCCUUGUCUCUCCAGGUCACACCUCAGGGGGCUGGGGGGACCCUGCCAUUGUCCCCAGCUUCCAGCAGUCUGAGCACAACAGUUACUACCUUGUCCUCAGCUGUGGGGACCCUCCACCCCAGUCGGACAGCCGGAGGGGGCAGCAGUGGGGGUGGGGCCGUGACCCCCCUCAACUCUAUCCCCUCCAUCACCCCCCCACCCCCCGCCACCACCAACAGCACAAAUCCCAGCCCCCAAGGCAGCCACUCGGCCAUCGGCCUGUCGGGCCUGAACCCCAGCACAGGCGCUGGCCUCUGGUGGAACUCUGCCCCUUACCAGCCUUGAUGCCAGCGGGAACCUGGUCCUGGGGGCAGCCGGGGGCGCCCCCGGGAGCCCGGGCAUCGUGACCUCCCCGCUCUUCCUGAACCACGCCGGAUUGCCCCUGCUCAGCGCCCCGCCAGGGGUGGGCCUUGUGUCGGCCGCCGCGGCCGCCGUGGCGGCCUCCAUCUCCACCAAGUCCCCGGGCCUCUCCUCCUCCUCCUCUUCCUCCUCCUCCUCCUCUUCCUCCUCCUCCUCCUCUUCCUCCUCCUCCUCUUGCAUCGAGACAGCAGCACAGACCCCCGGGGGGCCUGAGGCAGGGGCCAAAUCCGAAUGAGAGCACCCUCCGCCUUCUCCUGCCUCCUCCCCCUCGGCCCCGCUGCUCCCCCCCCCCCGCCUGGGGGGGCUGGUGGUCGGGGCCAGCGGCGGGGGAUUAAGGUGAGGACCCCGGAGCUGGAGGAAACACCAAAAAAAUAACCCCAGAAAGAAAAAACCAAACAAAAAAUAGAGUAAAGCCAAAUAGAACCGCCACAACCAGCCGCCCAGAAUGAGCCGGGGCGAACAGAAGAAACCAAAAAACGAAACCAAAAAACCCAGUCCAGAGCCAGACCUCAGUGCGCUCGCCGCUCGCCGCUGGACCACCCGACCGCCCGGAGCCUCCGCCGCCGCCCGGGCCAGAGGAGGAGGGGAGCGCGGCGCGCCCCGGGGGGAGGGGAGGAAGGUGGGGCGGGCGGGGGCCAGGGGAGGGAACAACUGUGGAUUUUUCUUUUCCAGAAACCAAAAGAGACAGGGCCCAGAACCUCACACCAAAUAGCCGGUAGCUUCAUCCAAAGGCCUGUAUAGAACUGGUAGCGUUUCUUGUGCUCCCCCGAAUGUGUCCCCCGUCCCAUCACCCGGCCUCGGGGUGGGGGGAGGGGAACUGUCCGAACUGCCUUUUUUUUUUGUUUUUUUGUUUUUAACAGAGGGAGAGUAAAAGGGGAGCGGGGCGGGGAGAGACUCCCCCGCUCUCCUGCGCUCUUCCCCAUCUCCUUGGGUGUGGGGGUCCGGCCGGUUGGCCACGCGAGUCCCACGGGCUCUCCCCCGGUCCCUCUGGUUCUGUGCUUAGGGAGUGAGGUCUGGGUGGGGGGCACGGCACGGCAGGGCAGGGCGGUCCCAGCUCUUGCUCGUUCUUGUCUGCCAGCUCCCCCCGUCCCUCUUCCUCAUCUCUAAAAAACAAAACAAAACAAAACAAACAAAAAAAACAAAAAACAAACAAAAAAAUACCAAAAAAACCAAAAACAAAAAAACAAACAAAAAAAAAAAGCCACCAAAAAAAAAAAAAAAAACUCAUAUUCCAGUGCCUAUCCGUGGGAUCGUUCACGCUCUUUUACAUUAUCCAGAAAAACCAAAAAAUCGUUCCCUCGCUCCUGCCCACCCACUACACACAGGAAGAUGUCCCACUCCUCCGACCCCCUCCCCAUUCGCACCCCGCCUCCAACCUCCCGAUGGCCACACCCAGAAUCAGGGUCCGAGUCGGGGGCGGGGGAUGGCACCAGUCUCAGUGGCUCCCCUGCGGGCACUGGGAUGUACGUAGAUGACGGAGGCCUUCGGGAACGCUGCAGUUGGGGUUGUCCCUCUGCCGGCCACGUCUUGAACCAAAAAAAAAAAAAAAAAAAAGAAAGAAAAAAGAAAAAAAGAAAAGAAAAGAAAGAAAAAGAAAAAAAAAGUACCACAAAAAAUAAAACUCAAAAAAAAAUUUUUUAAAUAGAAAAAUCUAUAGAUAUAUAUAUUUAAGGGAAAGAAGAAGAGAAGUCAGACUCUUAGAAGAAGAUACUGGAGGAGCCAGGAGGGAAGCAUGGGGCCUCCAGAGUGACGGCGAGGGCCUCCUGCCUCCACGCCCUACGGACAGACGAAUAAAUACUUCUUUCUCGUCACAAAUACCUCAUGGACCUCUACGGGGGUUGGGAGGGAGGGGAGGAGAUGGCCUCUGGCCCAGGAAAGACGGGCUGGGGCAGGAGGGAAGGAUGUCAAGGCCGGGCCCCAGGGGGAGCCCCCUUCUGGUCCGGCUGCCGGGCCCUUCCCCUCAACGUCACCCGAACAAAGCUUUAAACGGACGGCGGAAAACCCGGACAGAAAUCCACGGAGACCACGAUUCUGGGGGUGGUCCAGAUCCUCCUCCACGGUGGUCCUUCUUCCUCUCUCUCCUUCCCUUUUCUUUCUCUCCUUCCUCAAACCAAAGUGUUGCUGGGUAGGAAGCGAGCCAUCGGUGUGAGAGCCUACCCUCACUGUCAGGGGCUGGCACUUGGGCUGCACCGGGCAGCAGAGAGAGCUCGGAGAAGAGGCGGCGUCCGCUUGGAUACUCCUCUUCCUGCUGGACGGACACAAGAGGAGAGAUGGCCUGAGGCUCUGGCACGGCCCAGGUGCCUGGGCCCUGGCGGUUUGAUUUCCCUGUCUCCCCUCCUCAGCCCCGUCCCGAUCUGCCUCUGGAGGACCGCAGGCAGCUCGGCCGUGCCAGCCUGCGCCCACCUCUCUGCCUCCCCCCGGACUGUGUGGGCCUGCAGAGCAUCCUCUGCGGGGAUCCCAUCCGGGAAGCCUUGUCCGGGGCGCUGGAGCCCCUCCGGCUGUCCAGGGGCGAGGAGGGUGGCUGCAGAUCCCCGGGCCCUCCCUCGGUGCCAGUCCCCCAGCAGAAUGUACACCUCUCCACUGGACUGGACUCCCCUCUUCUGCCUACGGCCAAGUGUUCCUGCUUUUGUUUCCAAGAGAGACAGGAGGGGACUGGGACCGAGACGAGAAUGUGUGGCUCCCGGGAAGAGGCCUGGGGGAGACGGGGCCAAGGGCUACUGGCCUGGACAGGGAUGACAGAACGCAACAAACAAAAGGGAAAGACAAACCAUGGACAAAAUCGACAGAAGGCGUUGCCGAGAACACUCCAAAUCGAUGGAAUACAACAACGACAACACAAAAACUUUGAUUUUAGACCAAAAAACCAAAACCAAAACCAAACCCGAUCCCCCUGGAUUCACCAUCCUCGCGCCGAUCAUCUCCUUCCCAUCCAUCCCGGGCCUGUGCCCCCCCGGGUACCCCCCUGCCCUGGCUGCUGGGGGCAGCGGGGGACACGGAUGGAUGGGGAACGAGGGACAUGGAGAGCGGGGCCCGGGCACAAGUCCUGCCAAGUGCGGGUGGGAAGGGGCCUCCGCGGGCCCCCUUCCUCAGCUUCACUCAGCUUCCAGGCGAGAGAGGAAACAGAAUUCUCGGGGGAUUUCAAACAAACAAACCAACCCAACCCACAAACUCCCAAGCUUUAACUACAGCUGUGAAACCAAAUAUUUUGGGAAGGGGUAGGGGAGGGAGGGGCAGGUGAGCCCCAGGUCUCCCCCCUGGGCCCCCCCUCCCCCCAGGACUGGAGAUAAGGCACCAAAUACCUCAUAGAACUUUAAUGUUAAGAGAAACCAAAUAUGGCCGGCGUAGGGGGCCGGCUGGGGAGUGGGGGUGGGGGGUGGGCAGCAAGAGGGAGGCCGGGGACCGGGAAGGGGAGCCAGGCCAUGGAAGGCUUGGGGGUGGUAGCUGCACGCUACCCCUGCCCCUUCUCCUGCCCCUUCCACUCCUGUCCCCCUUUGUCCCGACUCCGGGAAGCAAAACUAUCUCAUCCUUUUUAUUUUGUGAUUUGCGCGGGGGGCCUGUCUGUGCCCGUGUGUCUGUGUGUGAGCGAGAGAGAAUCGGGGAGACUGGGGUUUUUUUGUGGGGGGUGGGGG
Molecule: long non-coding RNA, 4985 nt
Organism: Sarcophilus harrisii (Tasmanian devil)
Lineage: Eukaryota; Metazoa; Chordata; Mammalia; Dasyuromorphia; Dasyuridae
Source: Ensembl